Molecule: ribosomal RNA, 1385 nt
Filed under: Vibrio sp.
Lineage: Bacteria; Pseudomonadati; Pseudomonadota; Gammaproteobacteria; Vibrionales; Vibrionaceae
Description: bacterial SSU rRNA
Rfam family: Bacterial small subunit ribosomal RNA
Source: RNAcentral
UAUUUGUUUUGAAUCAUGGCUCAGAUUGAACGCUGGCGGCAGGCCUAACACAUGCAAGUCGAGCGGAAACGAGUUAACUGAACCUUCGGGGAACGUUAACGGCGUCGAGCGGCGGACGGGUGAGUAAUGCCUGGGAAUAUGCCUUGAUGUGGGGGAUAACCAUUGGAAACGAUGGCUAAUACCGCAUAAUACCUUCGGGUCAAAGAGGGGGAUCUUCGGGCCUCUCGCGUCAGGAUAUGCCCAGGUGGGAUUAGCUAGUUGGUGAGGUAAUGGCUCACCAAGGCGACGAUCCCUAGCUGGUCUGAGAGGAUGAUCAGCCACACUGGAACUGAGACACGGUCCAGACUCCUACGGGAGGCAGCAGUGGGGAAUAUUGCACAAUGGGCGCAAGCCUGAUGCAGCCAUGCCGCGUGUGUGAAGAAGGCCUUCGGGUUGUAAAGCACUUUCAGUCGUGAGGAAGGUAGUGUAGUUAAUAGCUGCAUUAUUUGACGUUAGCGACAGAAGAAGCACCGGCUAAUUCCGUGCCAGCAGCCGCGGUAAUACGGAGGGUGCGAGCGUUAAUCGGAAUUACUGGGCGUAAAGCGCAUGCAGGUGGUUAGUUAAGUCAGAUGUGAAAGCCCGGGGCUCAACCUCGGAACUGCAUUUGAAACUGGCUGACUAGAGUACUGUAGAGGGGGGUAGAAUUUCAGGUGUAGCGGUGAAAUGCGUAGAGAUCUGAAGGAAUACCAGUGGCGAAGGCGGCCCCCUGGACAGAUACUGACACUCAGAUGCGAAAGCGUGGGGAGCAAACAGGAUUAGAUACCCUGGUAGUCCACGCCGUAAACGAUGUCUACUUGGAGGUUGUGGCCUUGAGCCGUGGCUUUCGGAGCUAACGCGUUAAGUAGACCGCCUGGGGAGUACGGUCGCAAGAUUAAAACUCAAAUGAAUUGACGGGGGCCCGCACAAGCGGUGGAGCAUGUGGUUUAAUUCGAUGCAACGCGAAGAACCUUACCUACUCUUGACAUCCAGAGAACUUAGCAGAGAUGCUUUGGUGCCUUCGGGAACUCUGAGACAGGUGCUGCAUGGCUGUCGUCAGCUCGUGUUGUGAAAUGUUGGGUUAAGUCCCGCAACGAGCGCAACCCUUAUCCUUGUUUGCCAGCACUUCGGGUGGGAACUCCAGGGAGACUGCCGGUGAUAAACCGGAGGAAGGUGGGGACGACGUCAAGUCAUCAUGGCCCUUACGAGUAGGGCUACACACGUGCUACAAUGGCGCAUACAGAGGGCGGCCAACUUGCGAAAGUGAGCGAAUCCCAAAAAGUGCGUCGUAGUCCGGAUUGGAGUCUGCAACUCGACUCCAUGAAGUCGGAAUCGCUAGUAAUCGUGGAUCAGAAUGCCACGGUGAAUAC